This 207-nucleotide ribosomal RNA is filed under the name uncultured bacterium. Its description in RNAcentral is "partial 16S ribosomal RNA". It matches the Rfam family "Bacterial small subunit ribosomal RNA", at positions 568 to 774 of the family's 1533-position model. The record is from RNAcentral.
CGUGUAGGCGGCCUCGUAUGUCUGGUGUGAAAGCCCCGGGCUCACCCCGGGAAGUGCACUGGAAACUGCGAGGCUAGAGUCCCGGAGAGGGAGGUGGAAUUCCAGGUGUAGCGGUGAAAUGCGUAGAUAUCUGGAAGAACACCGGUGGCGAAGGCGGCCUCCUGGACGGUGACUGACGCUGAGACGCGAAAGCGUGGGGAGCAAACA